RNAcentral lists this ribosomal RNA (254 nucleotides) under uncultured bacterium. RNAcentral's name for it is "partial 16S ribosomal RNA". It matches the Rfam family "Bacterial small subunit ribosomal RNA", at positions 524 to 776 of the family's 1533-position model. The record is from RNAcentral.
CACGUAGGGCGCAAGCGUUGUCCGGAAUUAUUGGGCGUAAAGAGCUCGUAGGCGGUGUGUCGCGUCGGCCGUGAAAACCUGCAGCUUAACUGUGGGCUUGCGGUCGAUACGGGCAUCACUGGAGUUCGGCAGGGGAGACUGGAAUUCCUGGUGUAGCGGUGAAAUGCGCAGAUAUCAGGAGGAAUACCGGUGGCGAAGGCGGCAUCCUGGACCGACAUUGACGCUGAGGAGCGAAAGCUAGGGGAGCAAACGGG